Calypte anna (Anna's hummingbird) is the source of this 664-nucleotide long non-coding RNA. RefSeq lists it as uncharacterized. The record is from RefSeq and is a predicted model, not a curated record. The transcript is spliced from 3 exons. Lineage: Eukaryota; Metazoa; Chordata; Aves; Apodiformes; Trochilidae.
ACUUAUCACCUCCUCCUUCAGAAACCAACCUCCACACCUCUCCAGCUCCUCUGGAACCCUCUGCACCAAUCGCCCUUCCCUGUCUCCUCCAGCUCCAUGGGGCAAAUCCAGCUUCUGUGUUGGUGUUGGAGGGGGGCAAGACUGUCUGACUACCGAGGAAGCUUGCACUGGAUUGAAAGAGCACAACACCCGCUUUUAAAGGCAGCACAAACACAGGCAUUUCCCUGGUGCUCUCCUACUUACCGGGCUCACCUAAGGUGUUACAGCACAGGCAACACAGAAGGGGAACGUCUGCUACAAUGCAUGCAUGACAAGCAAUUGAUCACCAGUCCACACCGAAACUCGACUCCGAAGGAGUACAAGGGAAGGUGAAAGCUACAGGGAGCGCAACAACCACCACAGUCAGGCCAGACAUCGAGGAAUGCGACUGACGCAGCCUUCCACGCAGCCCGGAGCCGCCGGCAUUCCCCCAUCCCCCGGGCAUGCAGCAAGUCCUGCGCCAAGCAAACCACCCAUGCAAACCCACACACUGCCAGGGCUGAAGCGGCCACGCCAGGGCUCGAUGCUACCCACGGUGGUACGUACGCCGGACGAGGCGGGGAAGGGGCAGGAGGGCAAGGGAGGAGGAGAGCAACAACAAAAGAACAACAACAACAUCAGUCAG